CUCUCUCUCCCCCACGUAUUUCUCUCCUCCCUCUCCUUCCUUAAUUCUCUCUCUUCUCUCCCCACGCGAGUUCUCCUCUCUCUCCCCGUUCUUUCCUUUCUCUACCUCCCUCUCUUUCCAUUCUGCACCAGAGACCAAACCGAGCUGCACCUUCCCCACGUCUCUUUCCUUUCUCCUACCUCUCUCCUCUCUUUCCUUACUGCUCCUCUCCCCCGUCACCUUCCUUCUUCCACCAAACCGAAACCGAGCAGCUCCCUCUCCUCGUGAUUCCCUCCCCAGAGCCUCUCCUCCUUCCUUUCUACUCCCUCCACCCAGCCUAUAUAUACC
Molecule: long non-coding RNA, 327 nt
Filed under: Hordeum vulgare
Lineage: Eukaryota; Viridiplantae; Streptophyta; Magnoliopsida; Poales; Poaceae
Description: long non-coding RNA (HVUL_LNC006893)
Source: RNAcentral